GGCCAGUUAGCUCAGUCAGUUGAGCAUGGCACUAACAAUGCCAAGGUCACGGGUUCGAUUCCUGUUCAGUCCC
Molecule: non-coding RNA, 73 nt
Organism: Apaloderma vittatum (bar-tailed trogon)
Lineage: Eukaryota; Metazoa; Chordata; Aves; Trogoniformes; Trogonidae
Source: Rfam